ACGGCUCAGUAACACGUGGACAACCUACCCUUGGGUCUGGCAUAAUCCUGGGAAACUGGGUAUAAUUCCAGAUAGGUCACAGAUGCUGGAAUGCACUGUGGCCGAAAGCUCCGGCGCCCAAGGAUGGGUCUGCGGCCUAUCAGGGUUGUAGUGGGUGUAACGGACCUACUAGCCUACGACGGGUACGGGUUGUGAGAGCAAGAGCCCGGAGAUGGAUUCUGAGACACGAAUCCAGGCCCUACGGGGUGCAGCAGCCGCGAAAACUUUACAAUGCGGGAAACCGUGAUAAGGGAAUCUCGAGUGCCAGCAUAUAAUGUUGGCUGUCCAGAUGCCUAAAAAGCAUCUGUUAGCAAGGGCCGGGCAAGACCGGUGCCAGCCGCCGCGGUAACACCGGCGGCCCGAGUGGUAACCGCUUUUAUUGGGUCUAAAGGGUCUGUAGCCGGCCAAGUAAGUCCCUUGGGAAAUCUGGCAGCUUAACUGUCAGGCUGCUAGGGGAUACUGCUAGGCUUGGGACCGGGAGAGGUGAGAGGUACCUUGGGGGUAGGGGUGAAAUCUUGUGAUCCUCGGGGGACCACCAGUGGCGAAGGCGUCUCACCAGAACGGGUCCGACGGUAAGGGACGAAAGCUAGGGGCACGAACCGGAUUAGAUACCCGGGUAGUCCUAGCCGUAAACGAUGCUCGCUAGGUGUCAGUCACGGUGCGACCGUGAUUGGUGCCGUAGGGAAGCCGUGAAGCGAGCCACCUGGGAAGUAUGGCCGCAAGGCUGAAACUUAAAGGAAUUGGCGGGGGAGCAC
RNAcentral lists this ribosomal RNA (794 nucleotides) under uncultured Methanosaeta sp. Its description in RNAcentral is "bacterial SSU rRNA". It matches the Rfam family "Archaeal small subunit ribosomal RNA", at positions 85 to 879 of the family's 1478-position model. The record is from RNAcentral. Lineage: Archaea; Methanobacteriati; Methanobacteriota; Methanomicrobia; Methanotrichales; Methanotrichaceae.